Small nucleolar RNA from Eleginops maclovinus (Patagonian blennie), 65 nucleotides. RefSeq annotates it as small nucleolar RNA SNORD58. Lineage: Eukaryota; Metazoa; Chordata; Actinopteri; Perciformes; Eleginopidae. The transcript has a single exon. The record is from RefSeq and is a predicted model, not a curated record.
CUGCAGUGAUUACAGCUUAGGACACCUUUGGAUCAACCAUGAAAACAAACUCUACUCUGAGCAGC